RNAcentral lists this ribosomal RNA (497 nucleotides) under uncultured bacterium. Its description in RNAcentral is "partial 16S ribosomal RNA". It matches the Rfam family "Bacterial small subunit ribosomal RNA", at positions 28 to 507 of the family's 1533-position model. The record is from RNAcentral.
GAUGAACGCUGGCGGCGUGCCUAAUACAUGCAAGUCGAGCGAAAAGACGAGGAGCUUGCUCCUCUGACGUUAGCGGCGGAAGGGUGAGUAACACGUGGAUAACCUACCUAAAAGACUGGGAUAACUUCGGGAAACCGGAGCAAAUACCGGAUAAUAUAUUGAACCGCAUGGUUCAAUAGUGAAAGACGGUUUUGCUGUAACUUCUAGAUGGAUACGAGCCGCAUUAGCUAGUUGGUAAGGUAACGGCUUACCAAGGCAACGAGGCGUAGCCGACCUGAGAGGGUGAUCGGCCACACUGGAACGGAGACACGGUCCAGACUCCUACGGGAGGCAGCAGUAGGGAAUCUUCCGCAAUGGGCGAAAGCUUGACGGAGCAACGCCGCGUGAGUGAUGAAGGUCUUCGGAUCGGAAAACUCUGUUAUUAGGUAAGAACAAAUGUGUAAUUAACUAUGCACGGCUUGACGGUACCUAAUCAGAAAGCCACGGCUAACUACGUG